This 1224-nucleotide ribosomal RNA is filed under the name metagenome. RNAcentral describes it as "bacterial SSU rRNA". It matches the Rfam family "Bacterial small subunit ribosomal RNA", at positions 292 to 1498 of the family's 1533-position model. The record is from RNAcentral.
CUGAGAGGAUGGUCAGCCACACUGGGACUGAGACACUGCCCAGACUCCUACGGGAGGCUGCAGUCGAGAAUCAUUUGCAAUGCGCGAAAGCGUGACAAUGCGACGCUGCGUGGAGGAUGAAGGCUCUAGGGUUGUAAACUCCUGUCAUGCGGGAAAAAUAGCUCCGAGAAGAUAACGCUCGGAGUUUGAUGGUACCGCAAGAGGAAGCCACGGCUAACUUCGUGCCAGCAGCCGCGGUAAUACGAAGGUGGCUAGCGUUGUUCGGAUUUACUGGGCGUAAAGGGUGCGUAGGUGGUAGCGUGUGUCGGAUGUGAAAUCCUGGGGCUCAACCCCAGAACUGCAUCCGAAACUGCGUAACUAGAGACUAGGAGAGGAGAGCGGAAUUCAGGGUGUAGCGGUGAAAUGCGUUGAUAUCCUGAAGAACACCGGUUGCGAAGGCGGCUCUCUGGAAUGGAUCUGACACUGAGGCACGAAAGCGUGGGUAGCGAACAGGAUUAGAUACCCUGGUAGUCCACGCCGUAAACGGUGCGCACUUGGUGUGGGAGGUAUUGACCCCUCCCGUGCCGUAGCUAACGCGUUAAGUGCGCCGCCUGGGGAGUACGGCCGCAAGGCUAAAACUCAAAGAAAUUGACGGGGGCCCGCACAAGCGGAGGAGCAUGUGGCUUAAUUCGAUGCAACGCGAAGAACCUUACCAGGGCUUGACAUCUAGCUGCACGCCCCGGGAAACCGGGGAAGCUUUUGAAGGUGCUAGACAGGUGCUGCAUGGCUGUCGUCAGUUCGUGCCGUGAGGUGUUUGGUUAAGUCCAGCAACGAACGCAACCCCUAUGUUUAGUUGCCACCGGCGGUGAUGAGCCGUCGAGCACUCUAGACAGACUGCCCGUACAAGCGGGAGGAAGGUGGGGAUGACGUCAAGUCAGUAUGGCCCUUACGCCCUGGGCUGCACACGUGCUACAAUGGUCGGUACAGUUGGAAGCAAUACCGCGAGGUGGAGCAAAUCCAUGAAACCGGCCCCAGUUCGGAUUGGAGUCUGCAAUUCGACUCCAUGAAGUUGGAUUCGCUAGUAAUGCCGUAUCAGAUACGACGGCGUGAAUGCGUUCCCGGGCCUUGUACACACCGCCCGUCACAUCAUGAAAGCCGACUGCACCCGUAAUCGCUGAUCUAACCCGCAAGGGAGGAAGGCGCUGAAGGUGUGGGUGGUGAUUGGGAUGAAGUCGUAACAAGGUA